This 73-nucleotide transfer RNA is filed under the name Canis lupus familiaris (dog). It matches the Rfam family "tRNA". From Rfam's summary of the family: Transfer RNA (tRNA) molecules are approximately 80 nucleotides in length. Their secondary structure includes four short double-helical elements and three loops (D, anti-codon, and T loops). The record is from Rfam by way of RNAcentral. Lineage: Eukaryota; Metazoa; Chordata; Mammalia; Carnivora; Canidae. RNAcentral also lists the same sequence under 1 other name.
GCUUGGCAGGCUCAGUCAGUAGAGCAUGAGACUCCUGAUCUGAGGGUUGUGGGUUUGAACCCCACAUUGGGUA